GCCGGGCGGUGGUGGCGCACGCCUUUAAUCCCAGCACUCGGGAGGCUGAGGCAGGAGGAUCUCUUUGAGUUCGAGGCCAGCCUGGGCUACCGAGUGAGUUCCAGGAAAGGUGCAAAGCUACACAGAGAAACCCUGUCUCGAAAAACCAGAAAAAAAAAAAGAUUUUUUGGAUUUUUUUUUGAGACAGGGUUUUUCUGUGUUGCUUUGGAGCCUUUCCUGGAACUCACUCUGUAGCCCAGGCUGGCCUUGAACUCACAGAGAUCUGCCUGCCUCUG
Molecule: non-coding RNA, 275 nt
Organism: Neotoma lepida (desert woodrat)
Lineage: Eukaryota; Metazoa; Chordata; Mammalia; Rodentia; Cricetidae
Rfam family: Metazoan signal recognition particle RNA
About the family: The signal recognition particle (SRP) is a universally conserved ribonucleoprotein. It is involved in the co-translational targeting of proteins to membranes.
Source: Rfam